Salvelinus fontinalis (brook trout) is the source of this 1787-nucleotide RNA transcript. It is a transcript of the gene named endoplasmic reticulum-Golgi intermediate compartment protein 1-like, with no coding region annotated. NCBI's taxonomy places the organism in Eukaryota, Metazoa, Chordata, Actinopteri, Salmoniformes, Salmonidae. The transcript is spliced from 5 exons. The record is from RefSeq and is a predicted model, not a curated record.
UUGCUCGUUCUGAUAUUUCUUCCUCUUGUCCUUCCUGUUACACCUGGUGCUGUAGAUGUCCUGGAGGGCGGUGUGGCCCCGACGAGGGCGGUGUGGCCCCGACGAGGGCGGUGUGGCCCCGACGAUGUAAUAUGGAGCCCAGUGGACUCCGCCCCGUGUCGAGCUCAGGCUUACAAUAAGUGAUGUGGCGAGGAUGCCGCCAGAAAGGACACCCAAAGUUGCCCUCAGAUGGACACCGACGGAGUCGUCUCAGCUCCAUAUCAGUCACUGAAAGGUUGCUGGAUCGAAUCCCCGAGCUGACAAGGUUGGAUGUCUACAGGAAAGUCCCCAAAGACCUGACCCAGCCCACGCACACAGGAGCUGUGGUGGUCUUGAUAUCCAGGAUGAGAUGGGUCGUCAUGAGGUGGGGCACGUAGACAACUCCAUGAAGGUUCCUCUCAACCAUGGAUAUGGUUGUCGCUUCGAGGGAUAGUUCACUAUUAACCAAGGAGACACUGCUGACCCCCACUACACAGACCUCUGAUCAAGAUGGCGCCGACGGAGAUGGUCCUUAAAAAAACGAUGCAGUUAUUUGUUUUUUUUGGUAUUAUUUCUUACAUUGUUAACACAGGAAAUCUCAAGUCUUAUUACAUACAGCCGGGAAGAACUACUGGAUAUAAGAUCAACGUCAACUUCCCAACAAAACGACCAGAAAUACGUCUUUGCCGAAUCGGAUCCUUUGUUCGGACUUCCACCCUGGACAUGGGAUCUCAUCCCAGAGGGCAACCCAGAACAACGCGGUCGCCGCAGGUACCAGGCAACUUCCACGUGUCGACCCACAGCGCCACAGCCCAGCCCCAGAGCCCUGACAUGACACACCUCGUACACAAACUGGUCUUCGGGGAGAAACAACUGGUUUUUAUAUGACCAAUCAUAUCGAGUGGUUCCAAUGACGAAUUUGACGCGAGCAAAGAUGGCUGACAAAACAUUACGGAGGGAAGCAGAUGUAAGUAAUUAUAACGUCAUAACGAGUCAAGAAAAACAUUUACAUUUGAGAGGAAUAUGUUAGUUAAUGUAGAGACAAACGAUUGUGCAUAUUUUUUUUGUCAAAGUUAAUUUAUGAAAAUCGCGAUUUAGCAAGUUAACUGACUAACUAACAUUAGUUAGCUGGUGUUAUGACAUGAGUACAGUAUGAUAUUGUAAUUCGUGUUGUUUAAUGUUUUAGGGACUCCUGAAACAACCAGAUAACCAGGCUGUCAUCUUGUGGAUGUAAAGAAUCGAGCUAGCUAAAGCAUUUAUUGCUAAUUGAAUGUACAAUUGUGUAAGCUUGCCUUGCAAUGCAGCUGAAGUAACCUAGCUAGCUAACUAUUUACUUUCUUAUUGGGUAGUGGAGGAUAAAUAUAACUGUCUAUGGAUGUGUAGCUAGCUAAAGCAUUUACUGCUAAUUGAAUGUACAAUUGUGUAAGCUUGCCUUGCAAUGCAGCUGAAGUAACCUAGCUAGCUAACUAUUUACUUUCUUAUUGUGUAGUGGAGGAUAAAUAUAACUGUCUAUGGAUGUGUAGCUAGCUACAGUAUGUAGCCGGUCUGUGUCCCCCUUUUUCCUCCAAACAUAACCAUGGUCAUUAUGGCCUAUUUGUGUUUCAUCAGACCAGAGGACAUUUCUCCAAAAAAGUAUGAUUUUUGUCCCCAUGUGCAGAUGCAAACCGUAGUCUGGCUUUUUUAUGGCGGUUUUGGAGCAGUGGCUUCUUCCUUGCUGAGGAGACAGAACGUGUCUCCUUCCUGAGCGGUAUGACGGCUGCGUGGUCCCA